This is a long non-coding RNA of Rosa chinensis, 476 nucleotides long. RefSeq lists it as uncharacterized. The transcript is spliced from 3 exons. The record is from RefSeq and is a predicted model, not a curated record. Lineage: Eukaryota; Viridiplantae; Streptophyta; Magnoliopsida; Rosales; Rosaceae.
CAAAAAGGCCACCGAACAGUGUGUUAGAAGUUGAUCUAGAUUUUGAACACAAUGUUAGACCCGCCCCUCCAAUCACAGAGGAGGUUACAGUAGCAGUUGAGGAUAUGAUCCGGAAAAGGAUCGAGCAGGAACUUUUUGAUGAUGUUCAAAGGGCUCCUACUUUACCUACUAAAGCUCCAAGAGAAAGAAAGGAGAUGUUGAUCAUUAUUCUAUAAUAUCUUUGGAGUCUAAUUAUGGUAUGUUGUAGAAACAUUAACUUCUUCAAUGUCUAAUCUUUCUUUGUUUGAUAUAUAGGAUGAGAGUAAGAGUAAGAAAGGUCUGGCUGAAGAUUAUGAGCACAAAAGAUGAAUGCAGAUUCUGGCCCAUUUUCAUCCAAAGACAAGUAGAAGAAUGAGGUACAUGUUUUGAUUGCUGUUGUUUCUAUCUCUACUACGAUUUUAUGUUUCUUUGUAAUUCAUAGAACUUUACUCUCCUUG